ACAGCAGUAGCCACGGUAAUACAGAGGAUGCAAGCGUUAUCCGGAAUGAUUGGGCGUAGAGCGUCUGUAGGUGGCUUUUCAUGUCCGCCGUCAAAUCCCAGGGCCCAACCCUGGACAGGCGGUGGAAACUACCAAGCUAGAGUACGGUAGGGGCAGAGGGAAUUUCCGGUGUAGUGGUGAAAUGCGUAGAUAUUAGGAAGAACACCAGUGGCGAAGGCGACUUUCUGGACGAAAACUGACGCUGAGGCGCGAAAGCCAGGGGAGCGAACGGGAUUAGAUACCCGCGUAGUCCCUGUCUCUUAUAC
RNAcentral lists this ribosomal RNA (305 nucleotides) under uncultured bacterium. RNAcentral's name for it is "partial 16S ribosomal RNA". It matches the Rfam family "Bacterial small subunit ribosomal RNA", at positions 505 to 807 of the family's 1533-position model. The record is from RNAcentral.